CAGCCGCCGCGGUAAUACCGGCGGCCCGAGUGGCGGCCACUAUUAUUGGGCCUAAAGCGUCCGUAGCCGGGCUGGUAAGUCCUCCGGGAAAUCUGGUCGCUUAACGAUCAGACUUCCGGAGGAUACUGCUGGCCUAGGGACCGGGAGAGGCCGAGGGUAUUCCCGGGGUAGGGGUGAAAUCCUGUAAUCCCGUGAGGACCAGCUGUGGCGAAGGCGCUCGGCUGGAACGGGUCCGACGGUGAGGGACGAAGGCCAGGGGAGCGAACCGGAUUAGAUACCCGGGUAGUCCUGGCUGUAAACGAUGCGGACUUUGUGUCGGACAAGCUAUGAGCUUGUCCGGUGCCGGAGGGAAACCGUUAAGUCCGCCGCCUGGGGAGUACGGCCGCAAGGCUGAAACUUAAAGGAAUUGGCGGG
RNAcentral lists this ribosomal RNA (414 nucleotides) under uncultured microorganism. RNAcentral describes it as "bacterial SSU rRNA". It matches the Rfam family "Archaeal small subunit ribosomal RNA", at positions 459 to 872 of the family's 1478-position model. The record is from RNAcentral.